CUCGAGGCCAGAUCUUUCCGGUUGAUCCCGCCGGACCUGACUGCUAUCGGAUUGGUACUAAGCCAUGCGAGUCAUUGUAGCAAUACAAGGCAGACGGCUCAGUAACACGUAGUCAACCUACCCUAUGGACGGGGAUAAUCUCGGGAAACUGAGAAUAAUACCCGAUAGAUCAUUGUGCCUGGAAUGGCUAAUGGUUGAAAUGAUUUAUCGCCGUAGGAUGGGACUGCGGCCUAUCAGUUUGUUGGCGGGGUAAUGGCCCACCAAGACUAUUACAGGUACGGGCUCUGAGAGGAGAGGCCCGGAGAUGGGUACUGAGACACGGACCCAGGCCCUAUGGGGCGCAGCAGGCGAGAAACCUUUGCAAUGUGCGAAAGCACGACAAGGUUAAUCCGAGUGUUUUCUGCUAAAGAAAUCUUUUGUCAGUCCUAAAAACACUGAUGAAUAAGGGGUGGGCAAGUUCUGGUGUCAGCCGCCGCGGUAAAACCAGCACCUCAAGUGGUCAGGAGGUUUAUUGGGCCUAAAGCAUCCGUAGCCGGCUAUGCAAGUUUUCGGUUAAA
Molecule: ribosomal RNA, 557 nt
Filed under: uncultured archaeon
Lineage: Archaea
Description: bacterial SSU rRNA
Rfam family: Archaeal small subunit ribosomal RNA
Source: RNAcentral